AGUGGUGGUGUUGUUUUCGGGUGCAGAGGCAGCGCCAGUGCCGAAAUGUGAUAACCCUUUGGAGUAUAGCUCAUGCUUGAAUGCGUAUAAGAAGCCACCUCCAUCAGCCGGUUGUUGCCAGAAGAUGAAGGAACAAGCACCAUGCUAUUGCGAGUACAUGAAGAUAGAAGAUGUCAAACGUGUUUUUGACAGAGUUGAGAUUGCGAAAAUGGCUAAAUUGUGUGGAGUUUCAUAUUCUUUCACCUGCUAGAAUCCCGUUUGGUUUCAUUUGACUCUCUCUGGCUAGGAUAACUUGGCAUCUCAAUAAAUGACAAUUUUAUUUGAAAACUAUUUUUUUACUCAUAAUUUCGACUAUAAUGUACUUGUGUUCCGUUUUUUUUGGAAUGAUACUAGUGGUUUGCUAUCAUUUACCUUUAUUGUCUUGAUUCAUAUUACAUAUGUGCUAAAAGAACUACACAAUGAUCUAGAUCUUGUUUGAAUCAUAUUGGAUUGGUUAGAUUGGAAAUUGAUCUAGAUACCAAUAUAAUUAGAUGGGUUAGAUUGAUUGACCCACGAACCAAUGGAGACUGGUUGAAACGGUUUUCACUAUUUCUUUAAAAAUAUUUUUAUAUUUAUAUAAAUUAUUAAAUAAUUUAUUUAAUCAAACUAGACGAACAAGUUGAAAUGAAAAAUAGUUAUUUGACUGAUUUGACCAUCGGUCCAGUUCUAAAAACAUUGUUAUAGUUUAAAAAAAAAAGAGAAAUGGGUAGGGUAAAUAAAAUUAUUAUAUUAUAAAAAAAAUGUUAUUCGAAUAUUUAUUUGGGUAAAGUAUACUUGGAGUCACUCAACUUUUAGUAAAUUUCUUUAUUUCUCAUCGAAUUAUGAUCUCCAAUUAGCUAAUGGUGGUAGCUAGACUUGUUAAUUGGCUGGGUUACCUGCCCAAGUCCAACGGCCCGCUUGAAAAAUGGAAGGGUUUGGACAAAUACACGAUGCUGAAAAAUGGGUUUGGGUAAAAUUUAAGGCCUAUUUUAGUUAAACAAAAUUCUAGAACUCUUAUUCAAAAUCAUCUUGAUUCAUCCAGCAAUGAGGAAUUACCAAAACAUUUGACCCUUCACACAUUACUAUAUAAAGGAUUAGUUAAUCAAAUAAUAUAUGAGAAAUGGGUUGGCUUGAAAAUAAAUGGAUUGCUUGUCGUAGAAUAUUAUUCUCGUCAGAACUAAAAAUAUAAAAUAUAAAAAUUUUAUUUAAUACAAUAAAACAUUUAUUAUAUUUAUGGUAGUGUUUUUUAAUGAAUUUUUAAUGUGGUAUGAAACUCUUAGUUGAUGAAACUUAUUUAGUGGUAGAUUUAAUAGACUAUUGGGUCAUUAAUUUUGAAGUCACUAAUAAUAUUUAUGUUUAUUGCUGGGGUUCAAAUAAACGAGAAGCAUUCGUGAUAAGGAUCUCUCGUUGCGAGCUGGAGAUGGGAGAAAUGUAGCGGCAAAAUAAGUGGGAGAAGUACAUUUGUAUUUUGAUAAUUUUAGGAAAUUUAUUUUAAAUGAUAUUUUUCAUGUACCUAGUUUUAAGAGAAAUUUAAUUUCUAUUGCAUGUUUAUUAAAAAAGUUUUUCUAUGACUUCUAAUAAAAGGAUUGCAAUUCAUAAAAAUCAUGUUCUUAUCCGUAAUGGAUGAGUGCAAAAUAAUAUUUAUUUUAUUACACAAAAGUGCAACUCACUGCUUGAAACCAAACUCGUGAAUAAGAAACUUAAAACAUCUCACGCUAAUACUUAUGAUAUUUAAGACUUAGUCGCGUUAAACAAUAAAGAAUGAAUAAACUUUUUAAAGAUGGGACUUUAAGCGCACUUAAAGAGAUACAUUUUCCACAAUGUGAAUCUUGCUGCAAAGGUAAAAUGACCAAGCAAUCUUCUAAUGUAAAAGGUACAAUGGUUGUUCAAUCAUUAAAACUUGUGUAUACUAACAUAUGUGGUCCCAUGAUCAUUAGUGUGAGAUUUGGUUACAAUUAUUAUUUAAACUUUUUAGAUAUUUAUUCCAAAUAUUGGUAUAUGUACCUAAUGCACCACAAGAGUGAAACUUUUAAAAAAAUUCAAGAGUUUAGCGUGAAAGUUGUAACACCCCUUACCCGUGUCUGACACCGAGACAGGGUAAGAGGCGUUAUUGGACUUAAACAUAACAAAUCAUACAAAACUGGGCCAUAAAAUUUUGCUCAAAUUAAAACCAUCCAUUAACAUAUAUAUAUCGUCCCUUAUAUGGGCCCAAAAGGCCCAAAACAUACAUUGGGUGUGGUUCGGGACUAAACCGAGAACUUUCGAAACUUUUAGAACACUUAGAAAAAUUUUCUUAUUUUGGAGAGCCACACGCCCGUGUGGUCACACACGCCUGUGUCCUCAGCCCGUGUAACUCUUUAUUUAUGAUGUCAUCAACACAAUUAGGGUCACUCAGCCAAGUCAAACGUCAUUGUGCUUAGAUCGUGUGGUGAAUUAAAUUCUAAAUUCAGGUGCAGGCUUCACACGGCCUGGGCACACACCCAUGUCCUAAGGCCGUGUCCUUCACACGGCAGGGACACAUGCCCGCGUCUCUGCCCUUGUGUUUACUACUGGGCAUUUUGAUUUGCAUUUAUUAGGGUGCAGGGGACACACGGUCUAGACACAUGCCUAUGUGUCUACUCGUGUAGACAACUUUGAGGCUAUCUUCCAAGCCUUUUAUCACCCGUAAUAACACAUACACACUUAUACAUCUCAAUCACAACUUACAUAGCAUAAAUGAGAACUUACGCAUUCACAACCAUGGCCCAUGCACAUCAACUUCUUAUCAAUUAGUACUUGUUAAGACUCCAUAUUUUAUUUAAGCUAAGCUUACCAAAUCACAUGCAAUAUACAACAUCAUAUUUACUUCCAUUUUACACAUUUAUGCCUUAGUUGUUAUUAUGCCAUUUACUCACAAUUCCAUCAUCAAACAUCCAUGAUCAUAUCCAUAAUUCAUCUAUGCCAAAAUGAAUUAAACACAUCAUGAAUGACCUCAGCACAAGCAUGCAUAUAUGAAUAGGAUUAUAUCCCCAUAAUUAAAAUGAGCCAUAUCUCAUGGCCAUAUACUAAAUGAAUCAUCAAAUCAUUAUAAGCCAACACAUUUGGCUAACCCAAUAUGACAUAUAACAAAAAGACCAAGUCCCUAUACAUGCCAUACUCAAAAUACUUAAAUUCAUUAUACCUAAAAGAUUAGUUUGAUAGUGUGAAUCGAGCUCCGAUGUCCUUUGAUCCUCGAGCUAGCUUGGCGAUACUAUAAAAGAUGGAAAGGAAGGGGGUAAGCAUUAAGGCUUAGUAAGUUCACAUGCAAAUAAAUAGCAACAUCAUCAUGAAUAUAUAUAAAUACCAUUGACAUAACCUAGUUUAAAUAUAUGUCAUCAUAGAUUCAUAAGCAUAACUUACACAUCUUCAAUCUUACCAACAGGUCAUCAUAUACGGAGUUCAUUCAUAAGAGUUUUUCAUACAUACCUGUACCAACUCGUAAUACAUUCUCGUAUUUCCUCCUCAAUGACUUACUUGUUGAAUAACUCACUGAUUUACCUGUUGAACACUUGAAAUACUAUCGAUACACGGAAAACUUGCACGUGGUGCUUCAAACGUAGCCACAUGCUACCUCAUAUUACAAUUACACAUUACUCGCUCUCGAGCUAAUCACGGGUCUGUUCACACAAGCUGACAGUCAGGACAUAACUACUCGGGCUGCUCAUACAAGCUGACAAGUACCCGCAACACUUGCCGGGCUACCCAGCCACUGGUAAAACAUACAAGACUAGCACCCGGAUUCACAUAAACACAUAUCGCAUAUCUUAUGAGCUCAACACAUAUAGUUCCUAUUUACAUGUCACGUUAUAUCCUAAAUUAUUCCUAUGGUUCAAACGGGAUUUUCUCGAUAUCACAUAUUCGUCGAACUCAUUCACAAUGUCGUACUCAUAGACAAUAGCGUCAUUCAUACACUCGUCAUAAUAAUUAAACAUGGAGACUCAUUCAUAAAUAAAAUAUUAAAACAUGAUAUGUCAUUGCAUUAUUUACACAUGAACUUACCUUGGUACAAAAUAUGGACAAUUAAUUUGAUUUAGUCUAAAAUCUUGUUCUUUCCCCGGUCUAGGUCCGGACUCCGUUUUUCUUGAUCUAUAAUAGCAAAUUCAGCCCAUUAAUUCAUUACAUUAUUCAAAUCAGUCCAAAAAACUAUAUUUUGGAAAAAUUAUGAUUUUUCCCCUAAACUUUCACAUAUUUGCAAAUUAGUCUCUAGGCUCGUAAAAUGAAAUGUGUUCAUUUUCUUUGUUACCCAAGCCUAGCCGAACUUAUAACAUGCUCAUAGAAGCCCACAUUUCUCAUUAAAUCAUACAUCUUACUACCCAUUUUACAAACUUUACAAAUAAGUCCUUUUUAACCAUUUUCAAUAGAAAUCACUUGGUAAAAGAUGUUUAUCACACAUCAAAUAUUCAUAUUCAUCCAUUAAACAUCAAAACACAUGCGAUUCAUACAUGGGUCAAAUUUCAAAUAUGAAUCCUACUUAAAAAUAUGGCUAGAAAUAGGUAAAUCGGGUUACGAGGGUUUCAAAAAUGUAAAGAGCAUUAAAAACGGGGCUAAGAUGUUCUUACUAUUGAGCUUGAAAGUAGAAGAAACCCUAGCUAUGGAACCCUUGAGAUUUUCGGCCAAGGUGGGAGAAGAUGGACACAAUUUUUGACUUAUUUUCCUUUUUUAUUCUUUUAUUAACCAAAUGACAAAAACGCCCUUAAGGCUUUUCUUUCAAACUUUUCCUAUUCAUGCCCAUUUUUGUCCAUAGAUAUAGAAAUUGGGAAAUUUUCUAUUUAAGGACAUCUAAUUAACAAUCCAUGGCAAUUUCAUGCUCAAAGCUUCUAGAACUCGCAUUUUGCAAGUUUUGCAAUUUAGUCCUAAAUGUCAAAUUGGACAUUUUAUCAAUAAAAUUUUUUCAUGAAAUUUUCACACAAGCAUGCAAUCAUAUCAGAGGCCUCAUAAUAAUCAUAAAACAAUUAUUUAUAUUUUGGAUUUGUGGUUUCAAAACCACUGUUUCGACUAGACCCUAAUUCAAGAUGUUACAAAAGUGGAAAAACAAUUAGAUUUACCCAUUAAGACACUUCGGUUUGACCGACGUGAGGAAUACUUAUCGGACAAGUUCAUAGGAUACCUCAUAGAGAAUGAGAUAUUAUCCCAAUUAACUGUAUAGGGUACUCCACAACAGAAUAGCGUGGCACAGAGAUGGAAUAAAACCUUGCUUGAUAUGAUUUAUUCAACGUUAAGUUAUUCAAAACUGUCGAUAUCAUUCUGGGGGUAAGCAUUACUAAUGACUUCCUAUAUUCUAAGUUACAUACAAACUAAGGUAGCACCUUAGGAUCCAUAUGAAAUGUGGCACAACAUGAAGCCAGACUUAAAUCAUUUUAGGAAUUGGGGAUGUCCAACCUAUGUGUUGGCUAAAGAUGCAAAAAAGUUGGAAGCACGAAUAGAAUUGUGCAUGUUUGUUGGCUGUCCAAAACGGAGUAAGGGUGGAUAAUUUUAUAACCUAAAAUACCUAAUAGUUAAGGUUUCAACUUAUGCUAAUUUUUUUGAGAAAAUCUACAUUAACAAUUUUAAACUUCAAAGUAGAUUGUUACUUCAGAAAAUUUCAGGAAAAUGAGCUUAUUUUUCGAUGACUAGUAAGUCAUUUUUUGUGAGACAAAUGCACCCGAAAGAAAAUGAAUAAGAGGAUAAUAAUUUAUAAACAGUGAUCUAAAACAUUUUACUCAUACCAUCAUUUUAAUUGAUUUUAUUAGUGGAUUUAAUUUUCUAUUUUACUUUUUUUAGUGACUCUUUAAAUAAUUGAGACCAUUAAAAAUAAACCAUAACAACUAAAAUUUAAAUUUUAAUAUUCUAGAAAAACCAUAUAUUUUAAUUUCAAUUUUAAAUUUAAAUUGUUCAAAGAUUAAGCUAUUUUCUUGGCUUUGUAAUCCCAUUUCAGUUUUUUUUACCACAAAUUAUCUUUAUCUCAAAAAUGGUAAACCUAACAACAUCCUUUUACCAAAUUUACACAUGUACGCGUAUUGUCCAAAACUCUUGGCAACUAAUAAUCCAACUUCUAUAAAUUGUGCCAAAGUUCAUUGGAAAAAACACACCAACACAAAUUACCAUUAUUAGUCGCCCAGCUAGCUAACUUUUUUAUUUAAAAAAACAUGAAGAGAUUUUCUCUUAUUGUUUUGUGCGCGGUGACUCUAGUGGUGGUGUUGUUUUCAGGUGCAGAGGCAGCAGCGCCAGCGCCAAAAUGUGAUAACCCCUUAGAGUAUAGCUCAUGCUUGAACGCGUAUAAGAAGCCACCUCCAUCAGCCGGUUGUUGCCAGAAGAUGAAGGAACAAGCACCAUGCUAUUGCGAGUACAUGAAGAUAGAAGAUAUCAAACGUGUUUUUGACAGAGUUGAGAUUGCGAAAAUGGCUAAAUUGUGUGGAGUUUCAUAUUCUUUCACCUGCUAGAAUCCCGUUUGGUUUCAUUUGACUAUCUCUGGUUGGGAUAACCUGGCAUCUCAAUAAAAGAAAAUUUUAUUAGAAAACUAUUUUUUUUACUCAUAAUUUCGACUAAAAUGUACUUGUGUCCUUUUUUUUUUUGGAAUGAUACUGGUCAUUUGCUAUUAUUUACCUUUAUUGUCUUGAUCAUGUUACAUAUGUGCUAAAAGAGCUACACAAUAAUCUAGAUUUUGUUUGAAUCGUAUUGGGUUGGUUGGAUUUGGAAAUUGAUCUAGAUACCAAUAUAAUUUGAGGGGUUAGAUUGGUUGACCCACGAACCAAUGGAGACUAGUUGAAAUGGUUUUCUCUAUUUCUUAAAAAAUAUUUUAAUAUUUAUUUAAAUUAUUAAAUAAUUUAUUUAAUCAAACUAGACGAACAGGUCAAAAAUAAAAAAUAGUUAUUUGACUGAUUCGACCAUUGGUCCAAUUUUGAAAACAUUGUUAUAGUUAAAAAAACAAGAGAAAUGGGUAGGGUAGAUCAAAUUAUUAUAUUAUAAAAAUAAAUGUUAUUCGAAUAUUUAUUUGGGUAAAGUACACUAGUAGUCACUCAACUUUUAGUAAAUUUCUAUUUUUCUCAUCGAAUUAUGAAAAAUCACAAAAUAAUCACCCAACUAUUCAAUUUUUUUUGAGCUCCAGUUAGCUAAUAGUGGUAGUUAGACUUGUUAAUUGGUCGGGUUACCUACCCAAGUCCAGUGGCCUGCUUGAAAAAUGGAAGGGUUUGGACAAAUACACGAUGCCGAAAAAUAGGCUUGGGUAAAAGUUAAGGCAUAUUUUCUAUAUGGGUCGGGAUUUGUGCAAAUUAUUUUGACCCGUUCCCAGUCCGACCCGAAUAUAUUAUGUUAUAAAAAUAAUUAUAUUAAUUAUAUAUGUUAAAUAAUUAUUAUAUAUUUUUUAUAUUUAUAUUAAAUUACUAAGCCAAUAACAACUAAACCCAUUACCCAAACCUUAAAAAAAUCCUUACCCAACUAAAUAAUUGGCUUCGACUAUUCCUAAAGCCUGUCAAUUAGUUAACCAUAAACAUAUUUUAGUUAAUGGCGUACAAUAGAUAUACCAAGUCAUCAUUGCAAUCUUCGAGAUAUUAUUUUAGCGGCGGAUGAGUAAAAUUCUAGAACUCUGAUUCAAAAUUAUUUUGAUUCAUCCACCAAUGAGGAGUUGCCAAAACAUUUGACCCUUCACACAUUACUAUAUAAAGGAUUAGUCAAUCAGAUAAUAGAUAGGAAAUGGGUUGGUUUGAAAAUAAAUGGAUUGAUUGCCGUAGAAUAUUAUUCUCAUCAAAACUCAACAUAUUUUUAAAAAUUUUAUUUAAUAAUGUGGUAUGAAACUCUUAGUUGAUGUAACUUAUUUAGUGCUAGAUUCAAUGUACUAUUAGGUCAUUAAUUCUAAAGCCAUUAAUCAUAUUUAUUUUUAUUGUAGGGGUUCAAGUAGAACAGAAGCCUUCGUGAUAAGGAUCUCUUGUUGCAAACUAGAGAUGAGAGAAAUGUAGCGGCAAAAGUAGUGGGAGAAAUACAUUUGUAUUUGAUAAUUUUAGAAAAAUUAUUUUCAAUGACAUUUUUAUGUACCUAUUUUUUAUGUGACUUCUAAUAAAGGAACUACAAUUCAUAAAAAUCAUGUUCUUAUCCGUAAUGGAUGGAUGCAAAAUAAUAUUUAUUUUAUUAAACAAAAGAGCUACUCACUACUUGAAAUUGAACUUGUGAAUAAGAAACUUAAAACUUCUCACUCUAAUACUUAUUAUAUUUAAGACUUAGUCGUGUUAAACAAGAAAGAAUGAAUAAACUUUUUAAAGAUGAGACUUUAAGCUCACUUAAAAAGACAUAUCUUCUACAAUGUGAAUCUCGCUUGAAAGGUAAAAUGAUCAAGAAAUCUUCUAAUGCAAAAGGUACAAGGGUUAUUCAAUCAUUAAAAAUUGUGCAUACUGACUUAUGUGAUCCCAUGAACAUUAGUGUGAGAUUGGUUACAAUUAUUAUGUAAACUUUUUAAAUAUUUAUUCUAGAUAUUGUUAUGUGUAUCUAAUGCACCACAAGAGUGAAAUUUUUAAAUAUUUUCAAGAGUUUAAUGUGAAAAUGGAGAAACAAUUAGGUUUAACUAUUAAGACACUUCGAUUUGACUGACGUGGGGAAUCCUUAUGGGACGAGUUAAUAGGAUACCUCAUAGAGAAUGAGAUACUAUCCCAACUAACUAUGCGGGGUAAUCCACAACAGAAUAGCGCGGUAGAGAAAUGGAACAAAACCUUACUUGAUAUGGUUUAUUCAAUGUUAAGUUAUUCACAACUGUCGAUAUCAUUCUGGGGUUAAGCAUUACUAACGACUUGCUACAUUCUAAAUUACAUUCAAACUAAGGCAGUGCCUCAGGAUCCAUACGAAAUGUGGCACGACAUGAAGCCAGGCUUAAAUCAUUUUAGGAAUUGGGAAUGUCAAACCUACGUGUUGGCUAAAGAUGCAAAAAAGUUGGAAGCACGGAUAGAAUUGUGCAUGUUUUUUGGCUGUCCAAAACGGAGUAACGGUGGAUAAUAUUAUAACCCAAAAGACCAAACGGUUAAGGUUUUGACUUAUGCUACUUUCUUUGAGGAAAUAUACAUUAACAAUUUUAAACUUCGAAGUGGAUUGUUACUUCAAAAAAUUUCAGGAAAAUGAACUUAUUUUUUGAUGACUUGUAAGUCAUUUUCUGUGAAACAAAUGCACCUGGAGGAAAAUGAAGAAGAGGAUAAUAAUUUUAUAAAUAGUGAUCUAAAAAAUUUUACUCAUACCAUAAUUUUAAUUUAUUUUAUUAGUGAUUUUCAUUUUCUAUUUUACUUUUUUUAGUGACUCUUUAAAUAAUUGAGACCAUAAAAAAUAAACCAUAACAACUAAAAUUAAAAAUUUAAUAUUCUAAAAAAAACCAUAUAUUUUAAUUUCAAUUUUAAAUUUAAAUUGUUCAAAGAUUAAGCUAUUUUUCUCGGCUUUGUAGGCACAUUUCAAAAUUUUUUUACCACAAUUUAUCUCUCUCAAAAAUAGUAAACCUAACAACAUCCUUUUACCAAAUUUACACAUUUACACGUAUUGUCCAAAACUCUCGGCAACUAAUAAUCCAACUGCUAUAAAUUGUGCCAAUUUUAUUGGAAAAAACAUGCCAACACAAAUUACCAUUAUUAGUCGCCUAGCUAGCAAACUUUUUAUUUAAAGAAACAUGAAGAGGUUUUCCCUUAUUGUUUUGUGCGUGGUGACUCUAGUGGUGGUGUUGUUUUCGGAUGCAGAGGCAGCGCCAGCGCCGAAAUGUGAUAACCCCUUGGAGUAUAGCUCAUGCUUGAACGCGUAUAAGAAGCCACCUCCAUCAGCCGGUUGUUGCCAGAAGAUGAAGGAACAAGCACCAUGCUAUUGCAAGUACAUGAAGAUAGAAGAUGUCAAACGUGUUUUUGACAGAGUUGAGAUUGCGAAAAUGGCUAAAUUGUGUGGAGUUUCAUAUUCUUCCACCUGCUAGAAUCCCGUUUGGUUUCAUUUGACUAUCUCUGGAUGAGAUAACCUGACAUCUCAAUAAAUGAAAAUUUUAUUUGAAAACUAUUUUUUUACCCAUAAUUUCGACUAUAAUGUACUUGUGUUCUUUUUUUUUUGGAAUAAUACUGG
This 10080-nucleotide long non-coding RNA is filed under the name Gossypium barbadense (sea-island cotton). RNAcentral describes it as "long non-coding RNA (GBAR_LNC008558)". The record is from RNAcentral. Lineage: Eukaryota; Viridiplantae; Streptophyta; Magnoliopsida; Malvales; Malvaceae.